RNAcentral lists this ribosomal RNA (421 nucleotides) under uncultured eukaryote. RNAcentral's name for it is "bacterial SSU rRNA". It matches the Rfam family "Eukaryotic small subunit ribosomal RNA", at positions 592 to 1018 of the family's 1831-position model. The record is from RNAcentral.
CAAUAGCGUAUAUUAAAGUUGUUGCGGUUAAAAAGCUCGUAGUUGGAUUUCUGUCGAAGACGGUCGGUCCGCUCUAUGAGCGAGUAUCUGAUUCGGCUUUGGCAUCCUCGUGGGGAACGUAACUGUGCUUGAUUGCAUGGUGCGGAAUUCACGACUUUUACUUUGAGGAAAUUAGAGUGUUCACGGCAGGCAAGCGCCUUGAAUAUAUUAGCAUGGAAUAAUAAGAUAGGACCUCGGUUCUAUUUUUUCGGUUUCUAGAGCUGAGGUAAUGAUUAACAGGGAUAGUUGGGGGCAUUCGUAUUUAACUGUCAGAGGUGGAAUUCUUAGAUUGCGUUACGACGAACUACUGCGAAAGCAUUUGCCAAGGAUGUUUUCAUUGAUCAAGAACGAAAGUAUGGGAUCGAAGACGAUCAGAUACCAU